AACACACCAAAAAUACACAUACAAAUUCAAACACACCAAAAACACAUACAAAUUUAAACACACCAAGAACACACACCAACGCACCAAAAACACAGACACUAACGCACCAAUACACAGUAAUUAGCCCAAUAAAACAUAAAAUUAUAUAUACAUUUCACUUGAAUUAUAAUAAUCUAACUUAAAAAUUAAAACUAAUCAGUCUAAAUUAAAAAAAAUCAUGAACCCACGGUUCAUUUUAAUUUUUGAAAACAUCAAUUUUCAGAGCAAGUUCACCUCCGAUAACAUCCCGUUCCUCCUUGUAGAAGCUUCCUAUGAAGCUAUAUAUCAACCAUGAAAGAAGCUACCAACGACUCGUCGUCGUCCCCCAACCGCGUCAUCACCACCAUUAUCAUCAUUAAUACAACUCUCACACACCAAAAAGGUUCUUCACCUUCUCCCACUCUCAAAAUCAACCCAUAAAUUAGAGCAACAACAACAAAAUAAUGAAUUAACAUACAUUAUUUAAGAACUUCAACUACAUCUUCAUAAUCUAUUCUUUACUUUUAAUAUUUCUCCUUUUUGUCGAUUAGAGAUGAUAAGCGGCAAUUGUUAAUCACAACAGAUCUAGGCUUUUCGAAUGAAGAUGGUAGCAGAUCUGGAUUUCUUGGCUACAAAUAUGGAUUUGUCGGCUAGAGAUCUGGGUUUAGGUUCCUUAUAGAAGGUUUAAAAUGAUUGUAAAAAAUAUUUUGGGUAUGUAUGUGUUGUGAAUCUAUUAUGUAGUUGUAUGGUGGUCUAAUUAUUCUUUUGUCACCAGUUCUUCGAUUUCUCUUAUUCUGUCAGUAUCUAUUUGUGCCUCUGUCGUCACUAUCGGACUUGUACAGAAUGGAGAAUUGACUAACAGAGUCUUUUGAGUUUAUCCCCCAUGUCUAAAAAAUUUAAAUUGCCCAGUUAAUAUUAUUAAAUAUCCUCUAAUUUAAACAUCUAUACAAAUGGUUAAAGAGUGAUUUAAUAAAACACGAUCAUAAUUAAAAAAAGAUGGUUUAACGACGUUAUAUGUUGUCCGUCGCUAAACAUAUAGACGACGGUUAUAUGACCGAACCGUUGUCGGGUCCGUCGCUAAAGGUGAGUGAGCUCGAAUGAGC
RNAcentral lists this long non-coding RNA (1121 nucleotides) under Panax ginseng (ginseng). Its description in RNAcentral is "long non-coding RNA (PGIN_LNC018440)". Lineage: Eukaryota; Viridiplantae; Streptophyta; Magnoliopsida; Apiales; Araliaceae. The record is from RNAcentral.